RNAcentral lists this ribosomal RNA (399 nucleotides) under uncultured bacterium. RNAcentral's name for it is "bacterial SSU rRNA". It matches the Rfam family "Bacterial small subunit ribosomal RNA", at positions 355 to 755 of the family's 1533-position model. The record is from RNAcentral.
UGAGGAAUAUUGGUCAAUGGGCGGAAGCCUGAACCAGCCAUGCCGCGUGCAGGACGACGGCCCUACGGGUUGUAAACUGCUUUUCCGGGGGAAGAAUAACCCCCUGCGGGGGGGAUGCCGGUACCCCGGGAAUAAGGAUCGGCUAACUCCGUGCCAGCAGCCGCGGUAAUACGGAGGAUCCUAGCGUUAUCCGGAUUUACUGGGUUUAAAGGGUGCGUAGGCGGGCGUUUAAGUCCGCGGUGAAAGUCUGCGGCUCAACCGUAGGAUUGCCGUGGAUACUGGACGUCUUGGAUUCGGUCGGGCGGCGGAAUGCGUGGUGUAGCGGUGAAAUGCAUAGAUAUCACGCAGAACGCCGAUAGCGGAGGCAGCUCGCCGGGCCGAAAUCGACGCUGAGGCACG